Molecule: ribosomal RNA, 443 nt
Filed under: uncultured bacterium
Lineage: Bacteria
Description: partial 16S ribosomal RNA
Rfam family: Bacterial small subunit ribosomal RNA
Source: RNAcentral
CCUACGGGUGGCUGCAGUGGGGAAUAUUGUGCAAUGGGCGCAAGCCUGAUCCAGCAACGCCGCGUGAAGGAAGAAGGCCCUCGGGUUGUAAAGUUCUUUUGUCCGGGACGAAGCAAGUGACGGUACCUGCCGAAUAAGCCACGGCUAACUACGUACCAGCCGCCGCGGUAAUCCGUGGGUGGCAAGGGUUCUCCGGAUUUCCUGGGGGUAAAGGGCGUGUAGGCGGGGAAGCAAGUCAGAUGUGAAAUCCCAGGGCUCAACCCUGGAACUGCAUUUGAACCUGUUUUUCUUGAGUGAUGUAGAGGCGGGUGGAAUUCCGGGUGUAGCGGUGAAAUGCGUAGAGAUACGGAGGAACACCAGUGGCGAAGGCGGCCUGCUGGACAUUAACUGACGCUGAGGCGCGAAAGCGUGGGGAGCAAACAGGAUUAGAUACCCUAGUAGUC